This is a long non-coding RNA of Lytechinus variegatus (green sea urchin), 727 nucleotides long. RefSeq lists it as uncharacterized. NCBI's taxonomy places the organism in Eukaryota, Metazoa, Echinodermata, Echinoidea, Temnopleuroida, Toxopneustidae. The transcript is spliced from 3 exons. The record is from RefSeq and is a predicted model, not a curated record.
UCUCUUCUUUCUCUCUAGCGAGCUCUUCAACCGUCAUCCUGGCGAACCUUAUCCUCUCAUCCUAAAGAGAAAACACACAGAGGCAUGACCUGAAAGAAAUAAAAGAGGAUAACGAUCAUAAGCGAGGAAGCGUCGAUCGGGGAAGGGGACACGGGGAGGAGGAGCGUCAGUAUUACAACACGCGUGUUCGUAACAUCAAGACAGAAAACCCAGCAGGGUGGUAUCGCCAAAUCAAAGUUCUUACCCACCGAGAUGAUGCACCAUCACCCAUUGCGAUUCCUGGUAUUGGCGCCAAUGACUCUUCACUCCACCAAUAAGCAGCUGCUACUAUCAACAAGCAUCUCAUUUCCAUAGCAGCUGAUCUCCCUCCUCUUGACAGAGGUUCCCUUCCUGCGUACUUACCAUCUCCAAGUCAAUGCCCCCUCGUCCAACCAUGGGAAGUAUUUCGAAAUCUUAAACACUUAAAUUCUUCCAAAGCAGGGAUCAAGGAUGACAUACCUGUUAGAGUUGUAAAGGAAUUUGCUCUUGAAUUGUCUGUGCCCCUUACUGAUAUCUUGAACACUUCUUUCCAACUUGGGGUUGUACCACAUCAAUGGAAGCUCUCCUAGAUCACCCCGAUACCUAAGGCGCUGCCCGCGUCUAUCGACAAAAUUCGACCAAUCGCUCUCACAAGUAACUUUGCCAAAAUAGCUGAAUGUUUUGUGGCAAAAUGGCCUUUGCAAGACAU